Molecule: long non-coding RNA, 1572 nt
Organism: Felis catus (domestic cat)
Lineage: Eukaryota; Metazoa; Chordata; Mammalia; Carnivora; Felidae
Exons: 2
Source: RefSeq, a predicted model, not a curated record
UUCAGGAGAGCAAGGCCAAAUUCUUCACUACACACCCUAUGUCAAAACACACACUGGCCUUUAAAGCUUCCACUCAGAAGGAACACAUGGCACUUCUCACAUUUUUUGGCUAAGUCAAGUCGCAAGGCCAAGUUUAACUUCAAAGGGGGUGGGGAGGUACAUUCUUCCCAUAGAUGAUUAGAUAUAGGUGACUAGAGAUCCAGUCUUCCAUGUAAGUAUUUUUUGUGUGUAUUAUUCACUUAAUUCUCUCAACAAUUCCUACUACUAUCUCCAUUUUUCAAAUAAAGAAACUGAGCCAUAGGGAGUAUCUAUGAUAACUGAGUAUCUUACCUCUCUACUAAGUGUCAGGCCUCAAGUCAUGCGGCCGGUGAGGCCAGGGCUAGAAAUGCCUGGUUUUAAGCCCAGGUACUCCAGCUCCAUAGCUCAUGCUCUGUAAAACAAUAAGGAAAAAAUUGUAUUGCUUCCUCACGUUUCUUCUUCUCUGCAUUCAAAUACUCCUGCUGUGCCAGGCACUGGUCUGUGAUGUGCUGGAAAUACAAUGGUGAAUGUGACAUUAGGCACUUGCCCCAAUGAAGCUGAGGUUUGUCUUACUUUCUUCUUGGACAAAGGAUGAAAUACAGGGCCUGGAAUAAUCAGGUCCCAUUAGCCACACGCACAGUCACCAUUAUGACCAUUGUAUCACACUUAUUCUCCCCAACUGGGAUGGAAUCUUGCCUACCCGCUUCUUGAGACUUUGGAGGGGCAAAGAAAGAGGUAAAGGAAAAAUUAAAAUUUGGGUGAAUGAAAUGAAAUAAGAGUGUAAAAAGCACAAUAGGAUAACUCUUUGCCACUUCCCCUUACCUCAGAAUAGUCAACAGGUACAGUAUAGGCACUGCCCAUCUGAUGGCAAUUACAAACUGUAUUCCCACCUGGACUGGUGCCUUCUGGCUCAGUAUCAGCCCUAUCCUUACCCUUCAUCCUCCAGAGUGCAUACCUUUUCCUGGAACUAUUGAGGAAAGAAUAUGUUUUCUCAUACUGAGUUUGCUGAGAAGACAAAAUGUUGGCAGCUAUCCUGUCACCACUGGAGAUCAGCCUGUCUGAGAAUGGAACCACAACAGAGGAAAGCAGACAAGAUACAAGACAUGCAAACCAAUCCUUUAACAUUUGAGCUCCUGGAUCCAGCCAUGCCUGAGCCUGCAAUUUUUGAGAAAAGUAUGAAGAGCAACAGAAGGAGGAAUUGACCACCAGGAGCUUGGAGGGAUACCAGCAUACUGAGUAUCUUCUCUCUACUAAAAAGAUUUAGUACUAGAAAGCUGAAGUGAAGCCUCAUAUCCUUAAAAUUCAUUACAGCCAUAAAAAGCACCGCCAUAUUUUCAUGAGCUAUUAAAACAAACAGUUAAAAAUAAAGCCCAUUUGGUAUCCAAUAUCCUUCACACGAUCGUAUUUUUUCAUGUAUUUGUGAAGCAACAAACGUUGGCUAACUGCAAUACAUCUCCUUGUAACUGAUUCCAAUUUCCACAUUCUCUUUUGCAUCCUAAAAUAAUAAGCUACAAUUUCUCUAGCCAUACAAUUUAUAAAUUACAUAGACUUCCA